UACGUAGGGUGCAAGCGUUGUCCGGAAUUAUUGGGCGUAAAGAGCUCGUAGGCGCUUGUCACGUCGCUGUGAAAACCUGGGGCUCAACCCCGGGCCUGCAGCCGAUACGGGCAAGCUAGAAUUCGGUAGGGGAGACUGGAAUUCCUGGUGGUAGCGGUGGAAUGCGCAGAUAUCAGGAGGAACACCGAUGGCGAAGGCAGAUCUCUGGGCCGUUACUGACGCUGAGGAGCGAAAGCGUGGGGAGCGAACAGG
RNAcentral lists this ribosomal RNA (252 nucleotides) under uncultured bacterium. RNAcentral's name for it is "partial 16S ribosomal RNA". It matches the Rfam family "Bacterial small subunit ribosomal RNA", at positions 524 to 776 of the family's 1533-position model. The record is from RNAcentral.